UACGUAGGGGGCAAGCGUUGUCCGGAAUCAUUGGGCGUAAAGCGCGUGUAGGCGGCCCGGUAAGUCCGCUGUGAAAGUCGGGGGCUCAACCCUCGAAUGCCGGUGGAUACUGUCGGGCUAGAGUGCGGGAGAGGCGAGUGGAAUUCCUGGUGUAGCGGUGAAAUGCGCAGAUAUCGUAAGGAAGACCAGUGGCGAAGGCGGGUCUCUGGACAGUUCCUGACGCUGAGGCACGAAGGUCAGGGGAGCAAACGGG
Molecule: ribosomal RNA, 253 nt
Filed under: uncultured bacterium
Lineage: Bacteria
Description: partial 16S ribosomal RNA
Rfam family: Bacterial small subunit ribosomal RNA
Source: RNAcentral